This 253-nucleotide ribosomal RNA is filed under the name uncultured bacterium. RNAcentral's name for it is "partial 16S ribosomal RNA". It matches the Rfam family "Bacterial small subunit ribosomal RNA", at positions 524 to 776 of the family's 1533-position model. The record is from RNAcentral.
UACGUAGGGUGCAAGCGUUGUCCGGAAUUAUUGGGCGUAAAGAGCUCGUAGGCGGUUUGUCGCGUCUGCUGUGAAAACCCGAGGCUCAACCUCGGGCCUGCAGUGGGUACGGGCAGACUAGAGUGUGGUAGGGGAGACUGGAAUUCCUGGUGUAGCGGUGGAAUGCGCAGAUAUCAGGAGGAACACCAAUGGCGAAGGCAGGUCUCUGGGCCACAACUGACGCUGAGGAGCGAAAGCGUGGGGAGCGAACAGG